AGCCGUACGGUGCGGUGCAGGGACAAGCAGAGGAACCACUACCCAGACUGCCAGCUGAGGAGCUCCAGGAAGUUCCUACCACCGCUGAGGUACCUCCACAAGCAUCACUAUUCUUGGAAUCACAAUGCCAAGUGGGAGCAAAUGUUACUCUUAGCGCCUCUGGUCAAGGCACUGAGGACACAGUAGCACUGCCUCUUGCAGAGGACGUCAAAAGCACCAACAGCGUGUCGAGUGAGGGACCUUGUGAGAGGGCACUUGAUCCAGACCACGCAUAUGCCAAGCCAGCCCGGCGAAGUGACCACCA
Long non-coding RNA from Ornithodoros turicata, 304 nucleotides. RefSeq lists it as uncharacterized. NCBI's taxonomy places the organism in Eukaryota, Metazoa, Arthropoda, Arachnida, Ixodida, Argasidae. The record is from RefSeq and is a predicted model, not a curated record. The transcript has 4 exons.